GAAAUGCGAUAAGUAAUGUGAAUUGCAGAAUUCAGUGAAUCAUCGAAUCUUUGAACGCACAUUGCGCCCGCCAGUAUUCUGGCGGGCAUGCCUGUUCGAGCGUCAUUACAACCCUCAGGCCCCCGGGCCUGGCGUUGGGGAUCGGCGGAAGCCCCCUGCGGGCACAACGCCGUCCCCCAAAUACAGUGGCGGUCCCGCCGCAGCUUCCAUUGCGUAGUAGCGAACACCUCGCAACUGGAGAGCGGCGCGGCCACGCCGUAAAACACCCAACUUCUGAAUGUUGACCUCGAAUCAGGUAGGAAUACCCGCUGAACUUAAGC
Molecule: unclassified non-coding RNA, 320 nt
Filed under: plant metagenome
Description: partial contains 5.8S ribosomal RNA, internal transcribed spacer 2, and large subunit ribosomal RNA
Rfam family: 5.8S ribosomal RNA (bases 1-105)
Source: RNAcentral